This 253-nucleotide ribosomal RNA is filed under the name uncultured bacterium. RNAcentral's name for it is "partial 16S ribosomal RNA". It matches the Rfam family "Bacterial small subunit ribosomal RNA", at positions 524 to 776 of the family's 1533-position model. The record is from RNAcentral.
UACAGAGGUCUCAAGCGUUGUUCGGAUUCAUUGGGCGUAAAGGGUGCGUAGGCGGCGCGGUAAGUCGGGUGUGAAAUCUCGGGGCUUAACUCCGAAACUGCAUUCGAUACUGCUGUGCUUGAGGACUGGAGAGGAGACUGGAAUUUACGGUGUAGCGGUGAAAUGCGUAGAUAUCGUAAGGAAGACCAGUGGCAAAGGCGGGUCUCUGGACAGUUCCUGACGCUGAGGCACGAAGGUCAGGGGAGCAAACGGG